GACAGAGGGUGCAAACGUUGCUCGGAUUUACUGGGCGUAAAGCGCAUGUAGGCGGGACUUUAAGUCGGGUGUGAAAUCCCUGGGCUCAACCUAGGAACUGCAUCCGAAACUGAGGUUCUGGAGUAGUGGAGAGGAAAGCGGAAUUCCGGGUGUAGAGGUGAAACUCGUAGAUAUCCGGAGGAACACCAGUGGCGAAGGCGGCUUUCUGGACACUAACUGACGCUGAGAUGCGAAAGCGUGGGGAGCAAACAGG
Molecule: ribosomal RNA, 253 nt
Filed under: uncultured bacterium
Lineage: Bacteria
Description: partial 16S ribosomal RNA
Rfam family: Bacterial small subunit ribosomal RNA
Source: RNAcentral